UCCUACCAUGCAGUCGGGCGAAGAAGCUCCUCCGGGAGUGGAUUAGCGGCGGACGGGUGAGUAACACGUGGGCAACCUGCCUCAAAGAGGGGGAUAGCCUCCCGAAAGGGAGAUUAAUACCGCAUAAAAGGUAAAUAUCGCAUGAUAAAUACCUUAAAGGAGAAAUCCGCUUUGAGAUGGGCCCGCGUCGCAUUAGCUAGUUGGUGGGAUAACAGCCCACCAAGGCGACGAUGCGUAGCCGACCUGAGAGGGUGAACGGCCACAUUGGAACUGAGAGACGGUCCAGACUCCUACGGGAGGCAGCAGUGGGGAAUAUUGCACAAUGGGGGAAACCCUGAUGCAGCAACGCCGCGUGAGUGAAGAAGGUUUUCGGAUCGUAAAGCUCUGUCAUCCGGGACGAUAAUGACGGUACCGGAAGAGGAAGCCACGGCUAACUACGUGCCAGCAGCCGCGGUAAUACGUAGGUGGCGAGCGUUGUCCGGAAUUACUGGGCGUAAAGGGUGUGCAGGCGGAUAUUUAAGUGAGAUGUGAAAGACCCGGGCUUAACCCGGGCAGUGCAUUUCAAACUGGAUAUCUAGAGUGCAGGAGAGGAGAACGGAAUUCCUAGUGUAGCGGUGAAAUGCGUAGAGAUUAGGAAGAACACCAGUGGCGAAGGCGGUUCUCUGGACUGUAACUGACGCUGAGGCACGAAAGCGUGGGUAGCAAACAGGAUUAGAUACCCUGGUAGUCCACGCCGUAAACG
RNAcentral lists this ribosomal RNA (742 nucleotides) under uncultured bacterium. RNAcentral describes it as "bacterial SSU rRNA". It matches the Rfam family "Bacterial small subunit ribosomal RNA", at positions 49 to 808 of the family's 1533-position model. The record is from RNAcentral.